This is a long non-coding RNA of Pelmatolapia mariae (spotted tilapia), 230 nucleotides long. RefSeq lists it as uncharacterized. Lineage: Eukaryota; Metazoa; Chordata; Actinopteri; Cichliformes; Cichlidae. The record is from RefSeq and is a predicted model, not a curated record. The transcript is spliced from 3 exons.
CUCAAGGUGGACUUGUGACACAGUCAAACACCCAAAACAAGUGGACGCUACCUCAUGUGGAGUCUUUGCAUUGAAAUUUGCUGAAAAGAUCUUGCGAAAAGAGUCAAUAGACUUUCCAUCUACAAAAAAGGCCGUAAACACACACAGGCUGCAAAUUGCCACCACUCUCCUCCUAGAGACAGAUGACCUGACAAACAUCUGUUAUUUCUGCGGGGAAGAAGAGCAUGAAA